GUGGCUGACGGGUGAGUAACACGUGAUACUACCCUCGAGUGCGGAAUAACAUCGGGAAACCGAUGGUAGUGACCACAUAACAUCGCAGGAUCAAAGGAGCAAUCCGCUUGACGGGAGGGGGUCGCGGCUGAUUAGCUAGUUGGCGGGGUAACGGCCCACCAAGGCGAAACGAUCGGUAGCCGGCCUGAGAGGGCGCACGGCCACCACUUGUAACUGAACACACUGGUCCAGACUCCCUACGGGCAGGCAGCAGUGGGGAAUCUUGCACAAUGGACGAAAGUCUGAUGCAGCAACGCCGCGUGGGGGAAUGAAGCUUUUCGGAGUGUAAACCCCUUUCGACCCCGGAAGAAAGGCCCG
This 357-nucleotide ribosomal RNA is filed under the name uncultured bacterium. RNAcentral describes it as "bacterial SSU rRNA". It matches the Rfam family "Bacterial small subunit ribosomal RNA", at positions 95 to 456 of the family's 1533-position model. The record is from RNAcentral.